This 971-nucleotide small RNA is filed under the name uncultured Acidimicrobiales bacterium. RNAcentral describes it as "bacterial SSU rRNA". The stretch from base 1 to 490 matches the Rfam family "Bacterial small subunit ribosomal RNA", at positions 1045 to 1533 of the family's 1533-position model. Lineage: Bacteria; Bacillati; Actinomycetota; Acidimicrobiia; Acidimicrobiales. The record is from RNAcentral.
AUGGCUGUCGUCAGCUCGUGUCGUGAGAUGUUGGGUUAAGUCCCGCAACGAGCGCAACCCUUAUCCUAUGUUGCCAGCGGGUAAUGCCGGGGACUCGUAGGAGACUGCCGGGGUCAACUCGGAGGAAGGUGGGGAUGACGUCAAGUCUGCAUGCCCCUUACGCGUAGGGCUGCUAACAUGCUACAAUGGCCAGUACAAAGGGCUGCUAAUCCGCGAGGAGGAGCGAAUCCCAAAAAGCUGGUCUCAGUUCGGAUUGGAGUCUGCAACUCGACUCCAUGAAGCCGGAGUCGCUAGUAAUCCCGGAUCAGCUACGCCGGGGUGAAUACGUUCCCGGGCCUUGUACACACCGCCCGUCACACCACGAAAGUUGGUAACACCCGAAGCCGGUGGCCUAACCGCAAGGAAGGAGCCGUCGAAGGUGGGAUCAGCGAUUGGGGUGAAGUCGUAACAAGGUAGCCGUACCGGAAGGUGCGGCUGGAUCACCUCCUUUCUAAGGAGCUCGACUGAGGACACAUUCGGCGCAAUGUCGAGUGUGAGCCGCCUCAGCAGCACCCAGUUGACGCACUGAUUACUAAGACCUCUCGCUCGCCAGAGCCGUCGCAGGAGCAACAGCCUCCGACUCUGGCCCUCGAGUGGUCCCCAGACCUUCUGUUCCGUUUUGAAGGGGCAACCCCCCGUCAAUCUCGGUGCGCUGCGGCCCUUGUGGUCGCAGCGUGGCGCGAUUGCGGGAGUUGUUCCCUUUGAGGGAAACGGCCGCCGGCGGCCUUUGGAAUGACCGGCACCGCACCUUGAGAACUCCAUAGCGAGCACGAGCAUCUUUUGUAAGAAAGAUUUAUUGAUUCCAAGCUAUGAAGAGCCAACGGUGGAUGCCUUGGCACCUAGAGCCGAUGAAGGACGUGGGUGGCUGCGAAAAGCCACGGGGAGCUGCCGACCAAGCUUCGAUCCGUGGAUGUCCGAAUGGGGAAACCCGG